RNAcentral lists this ribosomal RNA (255 nucleotides) under uncultured bacterium. RNAcentral's name for it is "partial 16S ribosomal RNA". It matches the Rfam family "Bacterial small subunit ribosomal RNA", at positions 524 to 777 of the family's 1533-position model. The record is from RNAcentral.
UACAGAGGGUGCAAGCGUUAAUCGGAAUUACUGGGCGUAAAGCGUGCGUAGACGGUUAUGUAAGUCAGAUGUGAAAGCCCCGGGCUUAACCUGGGAAUGGCAUUUGAGACUGCAUAGCUAGAGUGCUGGAGAGGUUUGCAGAAUUCCCGGUGUAGCGGUGAAAUGCGUAGAGAUCGGGAGGAAUACCAGAGGCGAAGGCGGCAAAACUGGACAGUAACUGACACUCAACUACGAAAGCGUGGGUAGCAAACAGGG